RNAcentral lists this transfer RNA (75 nucleotides) under Candidatus Wolfebacteria bacterium. RNAcentral describes it as "tRNA-OTHER". It matches the Rfam family "tRNA". From Rfam's summary of the family: Transfer RNA (tRNA) molecules are approximately 80 nucleotides in length. Their secondary structure includes four short double-helical elements and three loops (D, anti-codon, and T loops). The record is from RNAcentral. Lineage: Bacteria; Candidatus Wolfeibacteriota.
GCGAGUGUAGCUCAGGCGGUAGAGCACGUCCUUUCUAGGACGAUGGCAGGGGUUCAAAUCCUCUCACUCGCUACA